AGGGUUAUAGUGCCUCCAGAACUGGGAUACCCUGACAACGACUACAACAAGAAGGGACCUAAGCCAACAACAUUCUCGGGGCAAAGGGCAUUGGAUUUUGUGCUGAGGAACCAGGGACUUAUAGAUAAGACUCUGUUGUUUGAUAUUGAGCUCCUUAAAAUCGUAUCAAAUUGAAAGUUGCUGCUCUCGCUGAUUGUUGAACACUAUUUAGUGUUUAUAGCCAAAGGUUUGCCCGUUGUAGUUUUGAGGUACCGAAAUAUGGAAUGGCAAAGGAGUGUGGUUCCUGCUGA
This is a long non-coding RNA of Chenopodium quinoa (quinoa), 290 nucleotides long. RefSeq lists it as uncharacterized. The record is from RefSeq and is a predicted model, not a curated record. Lineage: Eukaryota; Viridiplantae; Streptophyta; Magnoliopsida; Caryophyllales; Amaranthaceae. The transcript is spliced from 3 exons.